AACGCACAUUGCGCCCCUUGGUAUUCCAUGGGGCAUGCCUGUUCGAGCGUCAUUUGUACCCUCAAGCUUUGCUUGGUGUUGGGCGUCUUGUCUCCCUUUUAGGAGACUCGCCUCAAAACAAUUGACAGCCGGCAUAUUGGUAUCGGAGCGCAGCACAAGUCGCGCUUCUUUCCAUGAAUGUCAGCAUCCAUCAAGACCAUUUUUCACUCUUGGCCUCGGAUCAGGUAGGGAUACCCGCUGAACUUAA
Molecule: unclassified non-coding RNA, 247 nt
Filed under: uncultured Pleosporales
Lineage: Eukaryota; Fungi; Ascomycota; Dothideomycetes; Pleosporales
Description: sequence contains 5.8S rRNA gene, ITS2, 28S rRNA gene
Source: RNAcentral